Molecule: ribosomal RNA, 975 nt
Filed under: Longipedicellata aptrootii
Lineage: Eukaryota; Fungi; Ascomycota; Dothideomycetes; Pleosporales; Bambusicolaceae
Description: SSU rRNA
Rfam family: Eukaryotic small subunit ribosomal RNA
Source: RNAcentral
UGCGAAUGGCUCAUUAAAUCAGUUAUCGUUUAUUUGAUGGUACCUUACUACUUGGAUAACCGUGGUAAUUCUAGAGCUAAUACAUGCUGAAAACCCCGACUUCGGGAGGGGUGUAUUUAUUAGAUAAAAAACCAACGCCCUUCGGGGCUCCUUGGUGAUUCAUGAUAACUUCUCAGAUCGCAUGGCCUUGCGCCGGCGACGGUUCAUUCAAAUUUCUGCCCUAUCAACUUUCGAUGGUAAGGUAUUGGCUUACCAUGGUUUCAACGGGUAACGGGGAAUUAGGGUUCGAUUCCGGAGAGUGAGCCUGAAAGACAGCUCACACAUCCAAGGAAGGCAGCAGGCGCGCAAAUUACCCAAUCCCGACACGGGGAGGUAGUGACAAUAAAUACUGAUACAGGGCUCUUUUGGGUCUUGUAAUUGGAAUGAGUACAAUUUAAACCUCUUAACGAGGAACAAUUGGAGGGCAAGUCUGGUGCCAGCAGCCGCGGUAAUUCCAGCUCCAAUAGCGUAUAUUAAAGUUGUUGCAGUUAAAAAGCUCGUAGUUGAACCUUUGGCCUGGCUGGCAGGUCCGCCUCACCGCGUGCACUUGUCCGGCCGGGCCUUCUCUUCUGGAGAACCGCAUGCCCUUCACUGGGUGUGCUGGGGACCAGGACUUUUACUUUGAAAAAAUUAGAGUGUUCAAAGCAGGCCUUUGCUCGAAUACGUUAGCAUGGAAUAAUAGAAUAGGACGUGCGGUCCUAUUUUGUUGGUUUCUAGGACCGCCGUAAUGAUUAAUAGGGACAGUCGGGGGCAUCAGUAUUCAAUUGUCAGAGGUGAAAUUCUUGGAUUUAUUGAAGACUAACUACUGCGAAAGCAUUUGCCAAGGAUGUUUUCAUUAAUCAGUGAACGAAAGUUAGGGGAUCGAAGACGAUCAGAUACCGUCGUAGUCUUAACCAUAAACUAUGCCGACUAGGGAUCGGGCGGUGUUUUUAUUUU